AAGGGAAGUCCGGUGCGAAUCCGGCGCGGUCCCGCCACUGUGACCGGGUAAUACGUCGUCGCACGACCAGCCGCCACAGCGGCAGUCAGCCACUGGGGACGCCACAGCGAUCCCGGGAAGGCGCGGCGCGGGUCCCGGAAGCCAGGAGACCU
Molecule: non-coding RNA, 152 nt
Filed under: Actinomycetota bacterium
Lineage: Bacteria; Bacillati; Actinomycetota
Source: RNAcentral